GGCAUCGAUGGUGCAACGGUUAGAGCACACACUCCUGGACAGGAUGGCAUGCGGGAUCAAGUCCCGCCCGAAGCCA
Molecule: non-coding RNA, 76 nt
Organism: Parelaphostrongylus tenuis
Lineage: Eukaryota; Metazoa; Nematoda; Chromadorea; Rhabditida; Metastrongylidae
Source: the annotation of a GenBank genome assembly